Lolium perenne is the source of this 698-nucleotide non-coding RNA. NCBI's taxonomy places the organism in Eukaryota, Viridiplantae, Streptophyta, Magnoliopsida, Poales, Poaceae. The record is from RefSeq and is a predicted model, not a curated record.
UGAUCAUGCGAACCACUUAUUAGAAUAUCCAACAUUAACAGCGGGGACGCUAGGGAAGGUUGGAAUCUGAGUUCUUGGUUGGUAAUUUUGGCAGUUUACUUCCGUCAUUAUCUAUAACCUAUAUGCAUUGUUCCUUAUGCAAGAGAUUAACACUUGGAACCCUGCCAUAGCAAUGCCAUUCAUGCUUUACUAUGUUUCUGCCUAUUUGAUAUGCUUGUCUUGGAGCAACUGCGAAGGUGAUUUGAACCUGACAUUUGGUCAUUCUUAAUGCCAGUUUACUUUAUGUGGAAAACCUUGGCAUUACCCUACUCUAAAUCUGAAUGUCUGAAAUUCGUAUCUCAUGAAAAGCAACAUAUAGUUGGUUUUAAUCUGAUAUCUGGUAAAUAUUGGCUUAUUCAUUUGGCAGCUCAAGUUUUUUGUUAUUUGAAACCAGCUGACUUGGUCUUAAAUGUGAUAUCUAAACACAGAUUAAGGACAAUGGAGCAGGAGGAUUAGCAUUUCACUUGAUGGCUGAACCUAAAAUGACAGGCAUGUCGACCACGACUAGUGCACGCAAGAGAAGGACCUGCAGCGAGCCAAAUGCAGUUUUAAUGAAGCAGUCAUCAUUAGAAGAUAGUCGCCAAAGCGACCCUGUGCAACAUUAUGAUGUGUAAUGAAGAAGUCCUUAGUAGAAGAUAGAGCGCAAAAAAGGUUCCGGG